UUUGGCAGUACAUAUACUAAAAUAUACUAAAAUUGGAAUGAUGCAGAGAAGACAUCAUGGCCCCUAUGCAAGUCAACAUGCAAACUUGUGGAGCGCUUCAUAUUUAU
Molecule: small nuclear RNA, 107 nt
Organism: Rana temporaria (common frog)
Lineage: Eukaryota; Metazoa; Chordata; Amphibia; Anura; Ranidae
Source: RefSeq, a predicted model, not a curated record